RNAcentral lists this unclassified non-coding RNA (1081 nucleotides) under Hevea brasiliensis (rubber tree). The record is from RNAcentral. Lineage: Eukaryota; Viridiplantae; Streptophyta; Magnoliopsida; Malpighiales; Euphorbiaceae.
AAAAAAGGGAAAAAAAAACACUUGACAAUAUUAAUUAUUAGUGUAACAUAAUAUGAAAUUUGAAUAGAAUAGAAUGCCAAAAAGAGAAGCACUUUGACAAAAAAUAGGAUAAAUACUUGGCAAUAUUAUGUUAACCUAUUUCAAAUCUUAGCUUUAUAAUAUUUAUAUAAAUACAGAUGUAGAUAUAGAGAUAUGUCCCUUGAAUGUCUAACACUAUGUUUGUAGGUCUAUCUUUGCAAAGUGUGUGUUUGUGUGUGAGCACUGAAAACCAUACCUCGCACUAAAAUGCUCCUACGAUGCAUAUCGCCAUUUUGUGGAAUGGGUAUACGAACAUUAGUAUGCUGGUCAGCAGCUAGUUGCACCUGAAUAACUAACAUUUUACUAAAAAUAGACGCACGAAGAAGCAAAGAUCCAUGUGCUCCAUUUUUUUCAAGCAGCAAUACAGAUGGAGUGAUGGCGUAUAGAUACUUGGCUGUAUCCUUGUGGCCGUUUUUACAUGCCACUAUGACUGGGAGGAGAUCUUGUUCUCCUUGAAUGCUAACCAACUCCUUGUUCUUUUGUAUCAUGCAUUCGGCAAUUCUCGUGGCUCCAAUACCAGCAGCUAUUGUAAGAGCUGUAUCAUCAUUGUUAUCACGUACUUCCAAGUCUUCUUUUGUCAUGUUCUCCACCAACAACUCCACCAUAUUCAAUUUUCCAGUUAGAGUUGCAAGAUGAAGUGCUGUGCUACCAAAAACUGUAAGCUUUUCGCGUCCCGCAUGUGGAAGCUGUCGAAGGAAGUCUCUCACAGCAUUUAAAUCACCUUCCUCUAUAGCCUUGCAUAGACGACGGAAUUGAACGUAAACAUGGACCUCUGUCUCUUGCAGGCUUGUCGACAGGCGGGGGCGUACAAAGUAUCCCAUCAAAUCCUUGCUGAACUGAUUUCCUUAAUCUGGGAAAGUACACAUCAGACAUGCAUAAGAUGACAAGAUCUUACUAUGUGUGCUACUCCAAUAGAACGAUUCAACCUUUAUAUAGAAAGAAAAGGAGAAGAAAAUAAGCAAAAUGGUUUCAUCAUGAAAUCCCAAAUUGUCUUUUCACUUUU